UACGUAGGGUGCAGGCGUUAAUCGGAAUUACUGGGCGUAAAGCGUGCGCAGGCGGUUUGCUAAGACAGGUGUGAAAUCCCCGGGCUUAACCUGGGAACUGCGCUUGUUACUGGCAGGCUUGAGUGUGGCAGAGGGGGGUGGAAUUCCACGUGUAGCAGUGAAAUGCGUAGGGAUGUGGAGGAACACCGAUGGCGAAGGCAGCCCCCUGGGCUAACACUGACGCUCAUGCACGAAAGCGUGGGGAGCAAACAGG
RNAcentral lists this ribosomal RNA (253 nucleotides) under uncultured bacterium. RNAcentral's name for it is "partial 16S ribosomal RNA". It matches the Rfam family "Bacterial small subunit ribosomal RNA", at positions 524 to 776 of the family's 1533-position model. The record is from RNAcentral.